AAAAGUCAACAUCAUAAAUAUGUAUAUUGAUUAACAAUUCGAUUUUGAAUUCGAUACAGAUUCAAACAUGGCAUUACGUAAUCGGUGUAGGCUGGCACAUUCAAGUCCAAAAAUAUACAAAAUAAAAAAAAACAAAAUUUAUUACAUGACUCAGAGAGGAAAAAGAUUUCUCCAGAGUCUAGACAAAGAAGUUUAUUGCCCUGAAAAUGGCUCAAAUUUAGCUCAUAUGCCAAUUUCUUAUCAAAUGCGAGAUAUUUGUGCACGUUGCAUAUACUUAUAGCCAGACCUAUAUAUGUAUGUAUAUGUAGGUAAACUGGUGAGCCAACAGCCUUGAACUUUCACCAUAAGCCACCACCCACACAUGCCAUGGUAAUGCCAGCCCACGUGGCUAUCUCUCUGUCUGUCUCUGUGGAUAUUGUCCGUCGGCGUCGGCGUCGGCACAUGCAAGUCAAAUAUGAAGUACAAUAAACACACACAAAAAACAAAAAUGAUGACUUUAAAAAAACAACAAAGUUGAUAAAACAAAACUGAAAAUUGGCAGCCAAGGUGCGUUUGUUUAGCCGAACGAUGAACGACGCAUGGAAAGCCUUCAACUUGAAUUAACGUUCAGUUGAAGUUCGCCAUGGAGUAGGAGGUGGAGGAGGAGGAGAAGCAUCAGGGGGAGUGACUAGACUCUUGCCAUCGAAGAACUGGCCUAGAGGAAAAGCCAUGAAAAAGCGGUGAAAACCAGUAGAACCAAACACACCAAAUGACAACAUGUUUAACACAGCUCGUGGCCACAACAAAAUGACAUGUAGUUGCGAAAGUGAGACCAAGACUUGGUGCCUGCUGCUGCUGCUGCUGCUGCUGUUGAUGACGAUAAUGAAUGCUGAUAAUUAUGAUGGUUUCCCAUCCACCAUACCCCCAAAUUCACUCCCCACCCCACCCCACCCCACUCUCUUUCAUCGAGCCAUUGCCUUGCCAGUCAGACAGUCAGUCAGACAGACAGACAGCUGUAGCCCUGAUAGUUUUGAUCUUGGCUUUAUCGAGGUUGGAACUGCAUACAUAUGUUUCAAAUUUUCAAUUUUUCCCCUGUAACAGCUUUGCAAAUGUUUAACCAACCAACCAAAAAAAAAGAAACCUAAGUAACCCGGAAGUGCUAAAGUGCUCGAAAGUUCUAAUCGUGCGUAAGUGCCUACAAAAAGUAAACAACUAAAUAACUGGAGGAUAAAGUACCUACAUAUUUGAAAUUUUUCACAAUUUACCAUAAAUUGUCACUUUGAUUUUCGACUCAAAGAAAUUAAAGCUUGAAAAUUUUGGUAAUUUUUAAGAAAAAUAGAAAAGAAAUAUCAUGUUAAUAAUAGUUUAUCUAAAGACCAAGAAUCAACUACAUAAGAAAUGUAUUAGUAAAAAAGUUUAGCGGCUGAUUAAUCUGUAAAGGAUAUUUUUAGGGUCGCCAAAAAUUGAUGUAUAUAAUGUAAUUACUUUUUGAUAACCAUGGAAAGACGUGUCGAUAUAUCAAUAGAAUUUACUAAAUGAGAUAAAGUAUGAAAAUUGA
Long non-coding RNA from Drosophila willistoni, 1537 nucleotides. RefSeq lists it as uncharacterized. The transcript has 2 exons. Lineage: Eukaryota; Metazoa; Arthropoda; Insecta; Diptera; Drosophilidae. The record is from RefSeq and is a predicted model, not a curated record.